This 315-nucleotide unclassified non-coding RNA is filed under the name plant metagenome. RNAcentral's name for it is "partial contains 5.8S ribosomal RNA, internal transcribed spacer 2, and large subunit ribosomal RNA". The stretch from base 1 to 105 matches the Rfam family "5.8S ribosomal RNA", at positions 50 to 154 of the family's 154-position model. The record is from RNAcentral.
GAACUGCGAUAAGUAAUGUGAAUUGCAGAAUUCAGUGAAUCAUCGAGUCUUUGAACGCACAUUGCGCCCCCUGGCAUUCCGGGGGGCAUGCCUGUCCGAGCGUCAUUGCUGCCCUUCAAGCCCGGCUUGUGUGUUGGGUCGUCGUCCCCUCCGGGGGACGGGCCCGAAAGGCAGCGGCGGCACCGCGUCCGGUCCUCGAGCGUAUGGGGCUUUGUCACCCGCUCGAUAAGGACCGGCCGGGCGCCAGCCGGCGUCUCCAACCUUUUUUUCUCAGGUUGACCUUGGAUCAGGUAGGGAUACCCGCUGAACUUAAGC